This 468-nucleotide ribosomal RNA is filed under the name uncultured bacterium. Its description in RNAcentral is "partial 16S ribosomal RNA". It matches the Rfam family "Bacterial small subunit ribosomal RNA", at positions 28 to 507 of the family's 1533-position model. The record is from RNAcentral.
GACGAACGCUGGCGGCGUGCUUAACACAUGCAAGUCGAACGGAAAGGCCCUGCUUUUGUGGGAUGCUCGAGUGGCGAACGGGUGAGUAACACGUGAGUAACCUGCCCUUGACUUUGGGAUAACGUCAGGAAACUGGGGCUAAUACCGGAUAGGAGCUCCUGCUGCAUGGUGGGGGUUGGAAAGUUUCGGCGGUUGGGGAUGGACUCGCGGCUUAUCAGCUUGUUGGUGGGGUAGUGGCUUACCAAGGCUUGGACGGGUAGCCGGCCUGAGAGGGUGACCGGCCACAUUGGGACUGAGAUACGGCCCAGACUCCUACGGGAGGCAGCAGUGGGGAAUAUUGCACAAGGGGCGGAAGCCUGAUGCAGCAACGCCGCGUGCGGGAUGACGGCCUUCGGUUUGGAAACCGCUUUCGCCUGUGACGAAGCGUGAGUGACGGUAAUGGGUAAAGAAGCACCGGCUAACUACGUG